AUCAGAAGUGCGAAUGCUGACAUAAGUAACGAUAAAGCGGGUGAAAAGCCCGCUCGCCGGAAGACCAAGGGUUCCUGUCCAACGUUAAUCGGGGCAGGGUGAGUCGACCCCUAAGGCGAGGCCGAAAGGCGUAGUCGAUGGGAAACAGGUUAAUAUUCCUGUACUUGGUGUUACUGCGAAGGGGGGACGGAGAAGGCUAUGUUGGCCGGGCGACGGUUGUCCCGGUUUAAGCGUGUAGGCUGGUUUUCCAGGCAAAUCCGGAAAAUCAAGGCUGAGGCGUGAUGACGAGGCACUACGGUGCUGAAGCAACAAAUGCCCUGCUUCCAGGAAAAGCCUCUAAGCAUCAGGUAACAUCAAAUCGUACCCCAAACCGACACAGGUGGUCAGGUAGAGAAUACCAAGGCGCUUGAGAGAACUCGGGUGAAGGAACUAGGCAAAAUGGUGCCGUAACUUCGGGAGAAGGCACGCUGAUAUGUAGGUGAAGUCCCUCGCGGAUGGAGCUGAAAUCAGUCGAAGAUACCAGCUGGCUGCAACUGUUUAUUAAAAACACAGCACUGUGCAAACACGAAAGUGGACGUAUACGGUGUGACGCCUGCCCGGUGCCGGAAGGUUAAUUGAUGGGGUCAGCGCAAGCGAAGCUCUUGAUCGAAGCCCCGGUAAACGGCGGCCGUAACUAUAACGGUCCUAAGGUAGCGAAAUUCCUUGUCGGGUAAGUUCCGACCUGCACGAAUGGCGUAAUGAUGGCCAGGCUGUCUCCACCCGAGACUCAGUGAAAUUGAACUCGCUGUGAAGAUGCAGUGUACCCGCGGCAAGACGGAAAGACCCCGUGAACCUUUACUAUAGCUUGACACUGAACAUUGAGCCUUGAUGUGUAGGAUAGGUGGGAGGCUUUGAAGUGUGGACGCCAGUCUGCAUGGAGCCGACCUUGAAAUACCACCCUUUAAUGUUUGAUGUUCUAACGUUGGCCCGUGAUCCGGGUUGCGGACAGUGUCUGGUGGGUAGUUUGACUGGGGCGGUCUCCUCCUAAAGAGUAACGGAGGAGCACGAAGGUUGGCUAAUCCUGGUCGGACAUCAGGAGGUUAGUGCAAUGGCAUAAGCCAGCUUGACUGCGAGCGUGACGGCGCGAGCAGGUGCGAAAGCAGGUCAUAGUGAUCCGGUGGUUCUGAAUGGAAGGGCCAUCGCUCAACGGAUAAAAGGUACUCCGGGGAUAACAGGCUGAUACCGCCCAAGAGUUCAUAUCGACGGCGGUGUUUGGCACCUCGAUGUCGGCUCAUCACAUCCUGGGGCUGAAGUAGGUCCCAAGGGUAUGGCUGUUCGCCAUUUAAAGUGGUACGCGAGCUGGGUUUAGAACGUCGUGAGACAGUUCGGUCCCUAUCUGCCGUGGGCGCUGGAGAACUGAGGGGGGCUGCUCCUAGUACGAGAGGACCGGAGUGGACGCAUCACUGGUGUUCGGGUUGUCAUGCCAAUGGCACUGCCCGGUAGCUAAAUGCGGAAGAGAUAAGUGCUGAAAGCAUCUAAGCACGAAACUUGCCCCGAGAUGAGUUCUCCCUGACUCCCUGAGAGUCCUGAAGGAACGUUGAAGACGACGACGUUGAUAGGCCGGGUGUGUAAGCGCAGCGAUGCGUUGAGCUAACCGGUACUAAUGAACCGUGAGGCUUAACC
This 1662-nucleotide ribosomal RNA is filed under the name Escherichia coli 6-175-07_S1_C2. Its description in RNAcentral is "bacterial LSU rRNA". It matches the Rfam family "Bacterial large subunit ribosomal RNA", at positions 1281 to 2925 of the family's 2925-position model. Lineage: Bacteria; Pseudomonadati; Pseudomonadota; Gammaproteobacteria; Enterobacterales; Enterobacteriaceae. The record is from RNAcentral.